Molecule: ribosomal RNA, 328 nt
Filed under: uncultured eukaryote
Lineage: Eukaryota
Description: partial 18S ribosomal RNA
Rfam family: Eukaryotic small subunit ribosomal RNA
Source: RNAcentral
CCCUUAGAUGUUCUGGGCCGCACGCGCGCUACACUGACUGACUCAACGAGUGUACAACCUGCUUCGACAGAAGUGGGUAAUCUUUUGAAAUUCAGUCGUGAUGGGGCUAGAUUAUUGCAACUAUUAAUCUUCAACGAGGAAUGCCUAGUAAGCGCGAAUCAUCAGUUCGCGUUGAUUACGUCCCUGCCCUUUGUACACACCGCCCGUCGCACCUACCGAUUGGAUGGUCCGGUGAAGCCUCGGGAUUGUGGUUCUUGCCGCUUUAUUGUGGCGUGACCGCGAGAACUUGUCUAAACCUUAUCAUCUAGAGGAAGGUGAAGUCGUAACA